RNAcentral lists this ribosomal RNA (440 nucleotides) under uncultured bacterium. RNAcentral's name for it is "partial 16S ribosomal RNA". It matches the Rfam family "Bacterial small subunit ribosomal RNA", at positions 339 to 795 of the family's 1533-position model. The record is from RNAcentral.
CUACGGGCGGCAGCAGUGGGGAAUAUUGCACAAUGGGGGAAACCCUGAUGCAGCGACGCCGCGUGAAGGAUGAAGGCUUUCGGAUCGUAAACUUCUUUGAUCGGGGACGAAUAAUGACGGUACCCGAAGAACAAGCCACGGCUAACUACGUGCCAGCAGCCGCGGUAAUACGUAGGUGGCAAGCGUUGUCUGGAUUUACUGGGUGUAAAGAGCAUGUAGGCGGGAAUACAAGUCAGAUGUGAAAUGCUGCGGCUCAACUGCAGCCCUGCAUCUGAAACUGUAUUUCUUGAGUACUGGAGAGGAAAGCGGAAUUCCUAGUGUAGCGGUGAAAUGCGUAGAUAUUAGGAGGAACACCGGUGGCGAAGGCGGCUUUCUGGACGGUAACUGACGCUGAGAUGCGAAAGCGUGGGGAGCAAACAGGAUUAGAUACCCUGGUAGUC